UACGGAGGGUGCAAGCGUUAAUCGGAAUUACUGGGCGUAAAGCGUGCGUAGGCGGUGAGUUAAGUUAGAUGUGAAAGCCCCGGGCUUAACCUGGGAACUGCAUUUAAAACUGGCUCGCUAGAGUUAGGUAGAGGAGAGUGGAAUUUCAGGUGUAGCGGUGAAAUGCGUAGAUAUCUGAAGGAACACCAGUGGCGAAGGCGGCUCUCUGGACCCAAACUGACGCUGAGGUACGAAAGCGUGGGUAGCAAACAGG
This 253-nucleotide ribosomal RNA is filed under the name uncultured bacterium. RNAcentral describes it as "partial 16S ribosomal RNA". It matches the Rfam family "Bacterial small subunit ribosomal RNA", at positions 524 to 776 of the family's 1533-position model. The record is from RNAcentral.